RNAcentral lists this non-coding RNA (269 nucleotides) under Ruminiclostridium sp. RNAcentral's name for it is "T-box sequence". It matches the Rfam family "T-box leader". From Rfam's summary of the family: Uncharged tRNA acts as the effector for transcription antitermination of genes in the T-box leader family. T-boxes are found upstream of many aminoacyl-tRNA synthetase genes and some amino acid biosynthetic genes usually in Gram-positive bacteria. The anticodon of a specific tRNA base pairs to a specifier sequence within the T-box motif, and the NCCA acceptor tail of the tRNA base pairs to a conserved bulge in the T-box antiterminator hairpin. The record is from RNAcentral. Lineage: Bacteria; Bacillati; Bacillota; Clostridia; Eubacteriales; Oscillospiraceae.
CUAAUGGCUGUGACGGAAAUAUGUAGGAGCCGCUCUAUAUGGCAAAGAGAGCCCGCGGUUGGUGCAAGCGGGAGCAUGGCGGUGCUGAAGAUACCUUCCUGAGCCGCUUUUCGGAACGCAAAAGUAGGGAAAGCCGCGCGGCGCGCGUUACAGCGCCAGGGUAUAAUAGCUUUCGAUACUACUGUAUCUCAAGCUGUCGUACCUGUCGAGACCGGGGCCGUGAGGCCGCGGUGAACUGAGGUGGUACCGCGACAAUGUUCGCCCUCUGU